This 429-nucleotide ribosomal RNA is filed under the name uncultured Acidobacteriota bacterium. RNAcentral's name for it is "bacterial SSU rRNA". It matches the Rfam family "Bacterial small subunit ribosomal RNA", at positions 355 to 776 of the family's 1533-position model. The record is from RNAcentral. Lineage: Bacteria; Pseudomonadati; Acidobacteriota.
UGGGGAAUUUUGCGCAAUGGGCGAAAGCCUGACGCAGCGACGCCGCGUGGAGGAUGAAGGCCUUUGGGUUGUAAACUCCUGUCGGCUGGGAAGAAAACUGUCAAGUGAAUAGCUUGGCAGCUUGACUGUACCAGCAAAGGAAGCCCCGGCUAACUCCGUGCCAGCAGCCGCGGUAAUACGGAGGGGGCAAGCGUUGUUCGGAAUUAUUGGGCGUAAAGGGCGUGUAGGCGGCCGGAUAAGUCGGAUGUGAAAUCCCUCAGCUCAACUGAGGAACUGCAUUCGAUACUGCCUGGCUAGAGUCCGGGAGGGGGUAGCGGAAUUCCCAGUGUAGCGGUGAAAUGCGUAGAUAUUGGGAAGAACACCAGUAGCGAAGGCGGCUACCUGGACCGGAACUGACGCUGAGGCGCGAAAGCCAGGGGAGCGAAUGGG